This 542-nucleotide ribosomal RNA is filed under the name Amphicteis ninonae. Its description in RNAcentral is "partial 16S ribosomal RNA". It matches the Rfam family "Bacterial large subunit ribosomal RNA", at positions 1810 to 2606 of the family's 2925-position model. Lineage: Eukaryota; Metazoa; Annelida; Polychaeta; Terebellida; Ampharetidae. The record is from RNAcentral.
AAAACAUUGCCUCUUGAAUAAAAAUAAAAGGUUAAUCCUGCCCAGUGACCUGUGGGUUAAACGGCCGCGGUACCCUGACCGUGCUAAGGUAGCGUGAUAAAUUGCCCUUUAAUUGUGGGCCUGUACGAACGGAUAAACGAAAAUAAAACUGUCUUCUACUAUAAAAAUAAAAAUUGCAUUUCAAGUGAAAACGCUUGAAUAAAUACAAAGGACAAAAAGACCCCGUAGAGCUCAGGCCUGCCAAAAUAUAAAACCUUCCUAUAAUAUAGAUAUAUUUUACACUCUAGUAUGCCUUAACUGGGGCGGUUAAGGAAAAAUAAACCUUCCUCUUACAAAAAUAACCCCGGCAAUACCUGCCAAACAACACUGACCCUUUAAUUUAGAUCAAAGAAUAAAGCUACCUCGGGGAUAACAGAUUAAUCUUUCUUAAGAGUACACAUUGACAGAAAGGUUUGACACCUCGAUGUUGGCUUAGGGCACCCAAUAGGUAGCAGCAGCCUUUAAUGGUAGGUUUGUUCAACCUUUAAAGCCCUACGUGAUCU